This 401-nucleotide RNase P RNA is filed under the name Omnitrophica WOR_2 bacterium RIFCSPHIGHO2_02_FULL_46_37. RNAcentral's name for it is "RNase P RNA component class A". It matches the Rfam family "Bacterial RNase P class A". From Rfam's summary of the family: Ribonuclease P (RNase P) is a ubiquitous endoribonuclease, found in archaea, bacteria and eukarya as well as chloroplasts and mitochondria. Its best characterised activity is the generation of mature 5'-ends of tRNAs by cleaving the 5'-leader elements of precursor-tRNAs. The record is from RNAcentral. Lineage: Bacteria; Pseudomonadati; Candidatus Omnitrophota.
AGGCAGGCUUAGGUGGACGCCCCCCCGUUUUGAUUCGCUUUUGCCUGCCUGGUAGACAGGCGAAUGCAAAACGAAUCAGGGGGGGAGGAAAGUCCGGGCUCCGGAGGGCAGCGCACCCUGAGAAUAUCAGGGCAUCCCGAAAGGUGCGGGAUAGGAUAAGAGCCACAGAGACGAGUAGCAGCCACAAGUUGUGAUUAGGGACGGCUGCGAUGUGAAACGAGGCAAUCUCUGCGCGGAGAAAGGUCAAAUAGGUCCCGAUUGAUGAGAGUGGCCCGCUCUGACAAAACUACUUUUGUAGUAAUUGGAUCGGGAUGGGUAGACUGCUUGAGUUCCGAUGGCAACAUCGGAAUCUAGAGGAAUGUCCAUAAAUAACAGAACCCGGCUUAUGAGCCUGCCUAAAU